RNAcentral lists this ribosomal RNA (728 nucleotides) under Staphylococcus aureus. RNAcentral's name for it is "partial 23S ribosomal RNA". It matches the Rfam family "Bacterial large subunit ribosomal RNA", at positions 649 to 1382 of the family's 2925-position model. Lineage: Bacteria; Bacillati; Bacillota; Bacilli; Caryophanales; Staphylococcaceae. The record is from RNAcentral.
AGCAGUAAAUGUGGAGCCGUAGCGAAAGCGAGUCUGAAUAGGGCGUUUAGUAUUUGGUCGUAGACCCGAAACCAGGUGAUCUACCCUUGGUCAGGUUGAAGUUCAGGUAACACUGAAUGGAGGACCGAACCGACUUACGUUGAAAAGUGAGCGGAUGAACUGAGGGUAGCGGAGAAAUUCUAAUCGAACCUGGAGAUAGCUGGUUCUCUCCGAAAUAGCUUUAGGGCUAGCCUCAAGUGAUGAUUAUUGGAGGUAGAGCACUGUUUGGACGAGGGGCCCCUCUCGGGUUACCGAAUUCAGACAAACUCCGAAUGCCAAUUAAUUUAACUUGGGAGUCAGAACAUGGGUGAUAAGGUCCGUGUUCGAAAGGGAAACAGCCCAGACCACCAGCUAAGGUCCCAAAAUAUAUGUUAAGUGGAAAAGGAUGUGGCGUUGCCCAGACAACUAGGAUGUUGGCUUAGAAGCAGCCAUCAUUUAAAGAGUGCGUAAUAGCUCACUAGUCGAGUGACACUGCGCCGAAAAUGUACCGGGGCUAAACAUAUUACCGAAGCUGUGGAUUGUCCUUUGGACAAUGGUAGGAGAGCGUUCUAAGGGCGUUGAAGCAUGAUCGUAAGGACAUGUGGAGCGCUUAGAAGUGAGAAUGCCGGUGUGAGUAGCGAAAGACGGGUGAGAAUCCCGUCCACCGAUUGACUAAGGUUUCCAGAGGAAGGCUCGUCCGCUCUGGGUUA